Molecule: long non-coding RNA, 911 nt
Filed under: Leptinotarsa decemlineata (Colorado potato beetle)
Lineage: Eukaryota; Metazoa; Arthropoda; Insecta; Coleoptera; Chrysomelidae
Description: uncharacterized LOC111517450
Source: RNAcentral
UAUCCGUAAAAUUUUAGAAAACUCCCAAAAGGUAGGCAACCAGGAAUACAUUUCAAUUAUCUUUCAUAUCGCAUACGAGAGCUGCUGCCAUCAUCGAUGAAACGAGGAAACCUUUUGUUUGUAGCGAUAGGAACUAUCGGGUACAAAAAAGGGAUUGGAGAAUUUUUUUUAUUCAGAAAAUGGCUCGAAUGUCUUGAACGCUAAAUUUUGUUGAUUGAAUAUUUUACGCUUUAGGCGGUUUUAAUUGAUCAGUGUUCUUUUCGACAGUGAUAUUUGGUCGAAUAAUUCGUUGGAUUAUAUUAUCAACUGUCGAUUUGUCUCUACGGAGGAUUUUAGAUAUCAGCCUUUUUUUUGUGGUAAAAGAAGUCAACGUCUCGCGAUUAUUAGGGAAUCGGUAAUCGGAGGCGUUUAACCCCAUAUAUCGAAAUCAUCUCGAGGAAAAUAAAAAUUACUUUGAAGAGAAUAUAUGUCAUUCGAUGGUCGCAAUACUGUAAUAUUCAUGGUCGCCUUCUGAGGAUAUAAUUAAAGGAAUGAACAUCCGUUCCAGGAAGUGCAGUACUCCGUACAAUCCAGUAAUCUGGCUAAGUACCGCAUAGCGGAAUUUGUUUUUUGGUCAUUUAUUUUGCAUUCCGUAACUUCCACGGGCCAAUAUCUACGUUUAGUAAUCAUCAACUGGGAACUACACUCAGCGGAUAUUGUUUAACUGUUUUCUGUAUAUUAGUUAUGUAAGUUUUGCGUAAUGUCUUUAGGGGACUGGACGAAGACCUACCAUACAGAUCUCAUCCACUCCUCUUCUUCCCUCUCAUGAGAGUUUUCUAAGUGCACGAAACCCCUCCAACCAUUUCAAACCUUGUUUUAUUGAUUAUAUAUUUAUAGAUAAGCCAGUAUAUAAUAUAUUUCUAUUGAAUUGA